CCCUUAGACGUUCUGAGCCGCACGCGCGCUACACUGACCGGUGCAACAAGCAUCCGUCCUUGGCCGACAGGCCCGGGCAAUCUUUGAACGCCGGUCGUGAUGGGGAUAGACUUUUGCAAUUUUUGGUCUUCAACGAGGAAUUCCUAGUAAACGCAAGUCAUCAACUUGCAUUGAUUACGUCCCUGCCCUUUGUACACACCGCCCGUCGCACCUACCGAUUGAAUGGUCCGGUGAAGCCUCCGGAUUGGCGCGCACCUCGGUGCCGCCGAGAAGUUGGCUAAACCUUACCAUUUAGAGGAAGGUGAAGUCGUAACA
Molecule: ribosomal RNA, 315 nt
Filed under: uncultured eukaryote
Lineage: Eukaryota
Description: partial 18S ribosomal RNA
Rfam family: Eukaryotic small subunit ribosomal RNA
Source: RNAcentral